GCGGCCUACGAAACCUCUCAUGAAUCUGAUGCCCUAGUGCAAGUGCGCAAACUGAAGCCAACCACACACCACACACACAUAUAUAUACAGAUUCACAUCCAAGUUCCUUCCAUUUUUCUUUUGAAAGCUGCAGGGUGCUCUUCUUCUCUAGGUUGAUCAUAUAUCAUCUGAGAGCUCCAAACUAAAGCCUGCAGCCAUGGAUCUGAUGGAGAAGUCCAGACGAGCAAGUUUCUUGUUCGACGACAACGACGGAGAUGAGGAUCAAAACAAACAAAAUAAUGGAGAGGCUAAUAGGGAGGUGAUGAGGACUCAUGUUAAUCGAGCUGGGGAGAAUAAUAACAAUGAGAACUUCACAACUCGUGGACUACCAAACGACACUAGUAAGGAUCGCUCCUCCGGUUUGCUGGCAAGCUUGCUGUGUUGUUGUGGACCGCGGCGAAAUUAACUAAGUCGUAGUACAAAAUGAGACACACAUCCUAGUUCUAUGAUUCGGGAUUUGAGGUAUGCUUAGAUUUACAGUAGUAGAAUAUACCAUAUUAUAUACUAAGUUGUUAUGUUUUAGGACGUCGGAUUUUGAACCAGCUGUGAUUUGAUCUUAUAUGUACUAGUGGCACCGCCAGUUACCGGUGAUUACCAAUUACUCUCAUGUGUGUUAAGUUAACCAUGCAUACAUGAAUGUAGAGACUGGGAUGAAUAUGUUGAUUAUUAUCUUAUAAAAGAAAUUAGAUAGUACUACAUGUGAUUGUGUAUGUGUGUUUAGAUAUUAAUGUUAUGCAAGAAUAUUGUACUAUCGCCAUAUAUAUAAUCGUGUCAACUUGUUUGAUAUAUUUGACAUAUAUAACUUGUACAAUUUAC
Molecule: long non-coding RNA, 855 nt
Filed under: Oryza sativa aus subgroup
Lineage: Eukaryota; Viridiplantae; Streptophyta; Magnoliopsida; Poales; Poaceae
Description: lncRNA OsNaBo_05g0002300
Source: RNAcentral